GGUCAAGCGGUUAAGACACCGCCCUCUCACGGCGGUCACACGGGUUCGAAUCCCGUA
Molecule: transfer RNA, 57 nt
Filed under: Listeria monocytogenes ATCC 19115
Lineage: Bacteria; Bacillati; Bacillota; Bacilli; Caryophanales; Listeriaceae
Description: tRNA-Glu
Rfam family: tRNA
About the family: Transfer RNA (tRNA) molecules are approximately 80 nucleotides in length.
Source: RNAcentral